RNAcentral lists this transfer RNA (85 nucleotides) under Apibacter muscae. Its description in RNAcentral is "tRNA-Tyr". It matches the Rfam family "tRNA". Rfam says of the family: Transfer RNA (tRNA) molecules are approximately 80 nucleotides in length. Lineage: Bacteria; Pseudomonadati; Bacteroidota; Flavobacteriia; Flavobacteriales; Weeksellaceae. The record is from RNAcentral.
GGGGAGAUACUCAAGUGGCCAACGAGGGCAGACUGUAAAUCUGCUGUUUUUAACUUCGGAGGUUCGAAUCCUCCUCUCCCCACAA